Molecule: ribosomal RNA, 492 nt
Filed under: uncultured bacterium
Lineage: Bacteria
Description: partial 16S ribosomal RNA
Rfam family: Bacterial small subunit ribosomal RNA
Source: RNAcentral
AGUGAACGCUGGCGGUAGGCCUAACACAUGCAAGUCGAACGGCAGCACAGUAAGAGCUUGCUCUUACGGGUGGCGAGUGGCGGACGGGUGAGGAAUACAUCGGAAUCUACUUUUUCGUGGGGGAUAACGUAGGGAAACUUACGCUAAUACCGCAUACGACCUACGGGUGAAAGCAGGGGAUCUUCGGACCUUGCGCGAUUGAAUGAGCCGAUGUCGGAUUAGCUAGUUGGCGGGGUAAAGGCCCACCAAGGCGACGAUCCGUAGCUGGUCUGAGAGGAUGAUCAGCCACACUGGAACUGAGACACGGUCCAGACUCCUACGGGAGGCAGCAGUGGGGAAUAUUGGGCAAUGGGCGCAAGCCUGAUCCAGCCAUACCGCGUGGGUGAUGAAGGCCUUCGGGUUGUAAAGCCCUUUUGUUGGGAAAGAAAAGCAGCAGGUUAAUACCCCGCUAUUCUGACGGUACCCAAAGAAUAAGCACCGGCUAACUUCGUG